UUUAAUUACAUGUACAAGUCAAAAAACCCAAGGUACAACAUUUUUAUGCAGUAAAACGCCUAAGUUACAUGAGGUGUGCGCCUCAGGCCAAAAAGCCCACAAAAAAACAUAAAAAAAUGCGCCUUUUGGUCGCUUCCUGUAAUUACACAAGGCGAGAAGCAAAAAAGCCCCAGGCCCUGCGCCUUGUUGCGCCUAGGGCGCCCUUUUUAAAACCAAGAUUCAGAUGCGCGACUCAUGAUUGAUUUCAGGAAAACUAGGGUUUCGUAAGUUGAGAUUCCGGCGAUCUAGGGCUUAAACAAGCUUUCUCCAGCAAUGUCCAGCAACGAGGAUCCGUCUACGAUUUUGAUGUUCCUAACCAUUUAUCUAUUACACAAUUGCACAUGUAUUAGUUGUAAUUUCCCCUUUUCAAGAACAUGGUGUUCGAGAGGGAGAGGCCGCGAAUGGAGUUUACUUCAUAUGGGAAGGCGAGUGGCUGUUUUAGCUUCUAAAGAAGAGCGCAUUAGUCGGUUUACAUAAUAAAAAGUACAAGGGUUAAAGCGGUUCUCCAGAUUUCUUGGUUUUAACAAGCGCGCCUUAGGCGCAAGGCAAGGCGCGAUUUAUACGUAAAGCGCAAUUGAGACGCAAUUUUUUAUACGUAAAGCGCAGUUGAGACACAUUUUGUAAUGGCUGUUUUAGCUUCUAAAACCAUUAAUAAAGAAUUGUUUUGUAAGUUGGUUACAAGUCUUGAAACCUUGUUAACUGUUCAAGUUUCUACCAAAAUUUAGCUUAGUUAGGCGAAAUGCCACUUGUUGUAAUUUCUUUUGUUGCCUUGAAUUAAAGGUUCUCCUAAUAUAUUUCUAGAUUAUGCGUCGAUAGAUAUGAAUUGGAUCCGGAGGUUGAAAGUUGGGUAACGGGUCAAAAUGGGUUUCGCAUAUGCUUAUAUCAAAAGAGAAUUGAAAUUCUUAUGUUGUAAUGUUUUAACUUAAAUUGUUUAUUUGAUGAUAUGUCUUAUAUGAUACAAAUGUUGUUUUAACUUUU
This is an RNA transcript of Helianthus annuus (common sunflower), 1017 nucleotides long. RefSeq lists it as uncharacterized. The record is from RefSeq and is a predicted model, not a curated record. Lineage: Eukaryota; Viridiplantae; Streptophyta; Magnoliopsida; Asterales; Asteraceae. The transcript has 3 exons.